CCUGUUCGAGCGUCAUAAGUCCAAAUCACGCCUAGCGUGGUCUUGGGGCAUGCCUCUGGGCAGUCCUUAAACGUAGUGGCGGCGCCGUCUGGCUCUAAGCGUAGUAAUUUCUCUCGCUAUAGGGUCCUGCGGAUGCUUGCCAGCAACCCCCAAUACAAUCGGUUGACCUCGGAUCAGGUAGGGAUACCCGCUGAACUUAA
Molecule: unclassified non-coding RNA, 200 nt
Filed under: soil metagenome
Description: partial contains internal transcribed spacer 2 and large subunit ribosomal RNA
Source: RNAcentral